This 1150-nucleotide long non-coding RNA is filed under the name Manihot esculenta (cassava). RNAcentral describes it as "long non-coding RNA (MESC_LNC005695)". Lineage: Eukaryota; Viridiplantae; Streptophyta; Magnoliopsida; Malpighiales; Euphorbiaceae. The record is from RNAcentral.
UGUCUUUCUCUUUAGUUCACGUUCUCUUUUCCUCUUUCAUCUGUCUUUGCAUUCCUAUCUUUCCCUGUUCCUCUUUACCUUCUUCUUCCUCUUUUUUCUGUCCCUACUUCUUUCCUUUACAUUUCUCCAUUCUUUUAUCUCUCUGUUAUCCAUUCCUUCUUGCUCCACAUCUUUAUGUUUUUUCUCACUUUCCCUCUUUCUUCUCUUGCUUUUCCUGUUAAGAAACAAAACAUUAGAGCCUAGUCUUUGUUGCCAAGCAUGGCUGAAGGAGUAAUGCUUCAAAACCUAGAGGAUCAUGUCAAAUCAUUAGAGCAGAAACUCAGUAGCUUCAUAACAGAUAUAGUCAAAGAAUGGACAAAAUGCAUUUGGAAAUGUAGCAGCUCUGUCAAGAGAACCAGCAGAUCAUGGGUCAAAUUCUUGACAUUCUUGAUUUACUCAAGAAUCAAUGCAAAGGCAAGGUAUGUGGAGCACAACCACCAGAGUGUUCCAGUUUGAUUCAAGAGAAAGAUCAAUGCACUACUUUAACACUUGUGUUGCAUUGAAUAAGAUCAAAGAGGCUCAAAAAGAAAAUCAGCAGAAUUAAAUUUAAGCCACUUGAAGAAUUCAAUGUGGGAAGAAGGAUCAAGAAACCAAGUUAAUGCAGAAUCUUUAAUUCAAGAUGUGAGUAGCAAAAUUCCUGUAUUGUGAUGGUAUGACAUUAAAUGAUAACACCUAACGUCUUCUAGUCAAAAACUGUAUAAUUAAGAAAAGGUUAAAAACAUGUAUAUAUAUAGGAACACAAGAAAAUUAGAGACUAGAAUUGUCUUAAAAGGAACGCAAGAAAAUUAUAACUUUUGAUGCAAGAAUCAAGACCUGAACUGAAAACGACUAAAUCUGAAUCUGGUUCUAAAAAACAAAGAACUGAGGUUCUAGUUCAGGUUCUUAGGAAGAACCAAACCCGAACUGCACAUCCCUAAUUUCUUGGACACUCUGCUCAAUUGAAGUAUAGUUGAGUUCCACCUUCUCUCUGUCGUCUAAGGUUUGGUUGUUUAAGUUUUUAUGUUUGAUGUGUGUACAUGGUAAUACCUGUAUCAUAUGACCCUAAUGCUGGUUGAUAGAUUCAACAAUACCACUGUUCACAAUAAUCUCAUUAUACACAGUGCAAGUGAGG